UACGAAGGGGGCUAGCGUUGCUCGGAAUCACUGGGCGUAAAGGGUGCGUAGGCGGGUCUUUAAGUCAGGGGUGAAAUCCUGGAGCUCAACUCCAGAACUGCCCUUGAUACUGGCGAUCUUGAGUCCGGAAGAGGUGAGUGGAACUCCGAGUGUAGAGGUGAAAUUCGUAGAUAUUCGGAAGAACACCAGUGGCGAAGGCGGCUCACUGGUCCGGUACUGACGCUGAGGUGCGAAAGCGUGGGGAGCAAACAGG
This 253-nucleotide ribosomal RNA is filed under the name uncultured bacterium. RNAcentral's name for it is "partial 16S ribosomal RNA". It matches the Rfam family "Bacterial small subunit ribosomal RNA", at positions 524 to 776 of the family's 1533-position model. The record is from RNAcentral.